Molecule: ribosomal RNA, 441 nt
Filed under: uncultured soil bacterium
Lineage: Bacteria
Description: bacterial SSU rRNA
Rfam family: Bacterial small subunit ribosomal RNA
Source: RNAcentral
AGAUUGAACGCUGGCGGCAUGCCUAACACAUGCAAGUCGAACGGUAACAGGCCGCAAGGUGCUGACGAGUGGCGAACGGGUGAGUAAUGUAUCGGAACGUGCCCAGUCGUGGGGGAUAACGCAGCGAAAGCUGCGCUAAUACCGCAUACGAUCUAUGGAUGAAAGCGGGGGACCGUAAGGCCUCGCGCGAUUGGAGCGGCCGAUAUCAGAUUAGGUAGUUGGUGGGGUAAAGGCUCACCAAGCCAACGAUCUGUAGCUGGUCUGAGAGGACGACCAGCCACACUGGGACUGAGACACGGCCAGACUCCGUACGGGAGGCAGCAGUGGGAAUUUGGACAAGUGGGCGCAAGCCUGAUCCAGCAAUGCCGCGUGACAGGAAGAAGGCCGUUCGGUUGUAACUGUACGUUUCGGUAACGGAACGUAACGGUACCUUAGGUUAAC